GAUGAACGCUGGCGGCGUGCCUAAUACAUGCAAGUCGAGCGAACAGACGAGGAGCUUGCUCCUCUGACGUUAGCGGCGGACGGGUGAGUAACACGUGGAUAACCUACUUAUAAGACUGGGAUAACUUCGGGAAACCGGAGCUAAUACCGGAUAAUAUAUUGAACCGCAUGGUUCAAUAGUGAAAGACGGUUUUGCUGUAAUUUAUAGAUGGUUCCCCGCCGCAUUAGCUAGUUGGUAAGGUAACGGCUUACCAAGGCAACGAUGCGUAGCCGACCUGAGAGGGUGAUCGGCCACACUGGAACUGAAACACGGUCCAAGCUCCUACGGGAGGCAGCAGGAGGGAAUCUUCCGCAAUGGGCGAAAGCCUGACGGAGCAACGCCGCGGGAGUGAUGAAGGUCUUCGGAUCGUAAAACUCUGUUAUUAGGGAAAAACAAAUGUGGAAGUAACUAGGCACGUCUUGACGGUACCUAAUCAGAAAGCCACGGCUAACUACGUG
RNAcentral lists this ribosomal RNA (497 nucleotides) under uncultured bacterium. RNAcentral describes it as "partial 16S ribosomal RNA". It matches the Rfam family "Bacterial small subunit ribosomal RNA", at positions 28 to 507 of the family's 1533-position model. The record is from RNAcentral.